AAAUUGAAGAGUUUGAUCAUGGCUCAGAUUGAACGCUGGCGGCAGGCCUAACACAUGCAAGUCGAACGGUAGCACAGAGAGCUUGCUCUCGGGUGACGAGUGGCGGACGGGUGAGUAAUGUCUGGGAAACUGCCUGAUGGAGGGGGAUAACUACUGGAAACGGUAGCUAAUACCGCAUAACGUCGCAAGACCAAAGAGGGGGACCUUCGGGCCUCUUGCCAUCAGAUGUGCCCAGAUGGGAUUAGCUAGUAGGUGGGGUAACGGCUCACCUAGGCGACGAUCCCUAGCUGGUCUGAGAGGAUGACCAGCCACACUGGAACUGAGACACGGUCCAGACUCCUACGGGAGGCAGCAGUGGGGAAUAUUGCACAAUGGGCGCAAGCCUGAUGCAGCCAUGCCGCGUGUAUGAAGAAGGCCUUCGGGUUGUAAAGUACUUUCAGCGGGGAGGAAGGUGUUGUGGUUAAUAACCACAGCAAUUGACGUUACCCGCAGAAGAAGCACCGGCUAACUCCGUGCCAGCAGCCGCGGUAAUACGGAGGGUGCAAGCGUUAAUCGGAAUUACUGGGCGUAAAGCGCACGCAGGCGGUCUGUCAAGUCGGAUGUGAAAUCCCCGGGCUCAACCUGGGAACUGCAUUCGAAACUGGCAGGCUAGAGUCUUGUAGAGGGGGGUAGAAUUCCAGGUGUAGCGGUGAAAUGCGUAGAGAUCUGGAGGAAUACCGGUGGCGAAGGCGGCCCCCUGGACAAAGACUGACGCUCAGGUGCGAAAGCGUGGGGAGCAAACAGGAUUAGAUACCCUGGUAGUCCACGCCGUAAACGAUGUCGACUUGGAGGUUGUUCCCUUGAGGAGUGGCUUCCGGAGCUAACGCGUUAAGUCGACCGCCUGGGGAGUACGGCCGCAAGGUUAAAACUCAAAUGAAUUGACGGGGGCCCGCACAAGCGGUGGAGCAUGUGGUUUAAUUCGAUGCAACGCGAAGAACCUUACCUACUCUUGACAUCCAGAGAACUUUCCAGAGAUGGAUUGGUGCCUUCGGGAACUCUGAGACAGGUGCUGCAUGGCUGUCGUCAGCUCGUGUUGUGAAAUGUUGGGUUAAGUCCCGCAACGAGCGCAACCCUUAUCCUUUGUUGCCAGCGGUCCGGCCGGGAACUCAAAGGAGACUGCCAGUGAUAAACUGGAGGAAGGUGGGGAUGACGUCAAGUCAUCAUGGCCCUUACGAGUAGGGCUACACACGUGCUACAAUGGCGCAUACAAAGAGAAGCGACCUCGCGAGAGCAAGCGGACCUCAUAAAGUGCGUCGUAGUCCGGAUUGGAGUCUGCAACUCGACUCCAUGAAGUCGGAAUCGCUAGUAAUCGUAGAUCAGAAUGCUACGGUGAAUACGUUCCCGGGCCUUGUACACACCGCCCGUCACACCAUGGGAGUGGGUUGCAAAAGAAGUAGGUAGCUUAACCUUCGGGAGGGCGCUUACCACUUUGUGAUUCAUGACUGGGGUGAAGUCGUAACAAGGUAACCGUAGGGGAACCUGCGGUUGGAUCACCUCCUUACCUUAAAGAA
Molecule: ribosomal RNA, 1550 nt
Filed under: Leclercia adecarboxylata
Lineage: Bacteria; Pseudomonadati; Pseudomonadota; Gammaproteobacteria; Enterobacterales; Enterobacteriaceae
Description: bacterial SSU rRNA
Rfam family: Bacterial small subunit ribosomal RNA
Source: RNAcentral